Molecule: ribosomal RNA, 530 nt
Filed under: uncultured cyanobacterium
Lineage: Bacteria; Bacillati; Cyanobacteriota
Description: bacterial SSU rRNA
Rfam family: Bacterial small subunit ribosomal RNA
Source: RNAcentral
GGGAACCUGAUGCAGCGACGCCGCCGUGAGGGGAUGACGGCCUUCGGGUUGUAAACCUCUUUCAGCACGGAAGAAGCGAAAGUGACGGUACGUGCAGAAGAAAGCGCCGGCUAACUCCGUGCCCAGCAGCCGCGGUAAGACGGAGGAUGCAAGCGUUAUCCGGAAUGAUUGGGCGUAAAGCGUCCGCAGGUGGCAGUUCAAGUCUGCUGUCAAAGACCGGGGCUUAACUUCGGAAAGGCAGUGGAAACUGAACAGCUAGAGUAUGGUAGGGGCAGAGGGAAUUCCUGGUGUAGCGGUGAAAUGCGUAGAGAUCAGGAAGAACAUCGGUGGCGAAGGCGCUCUGCUGGACCAUAACUGACACUCAGGGACGAAAGCUAGGGGAGCGAAUGGGAUUAGAUACCCCAGUAGUCCUAGCCGUAAACGAUGGAUACUAGGUGUUGUCUGUAUCGACCCGGACAGUGCCGUAGCUAACGCGUUAAGUAUCCCGCCUGGGGAGUACGCACGCAAGUGUGAAACUCAAAGGAAUUGAC